RNAcentral lists this long non-coding RNA (322 nucleotides) under Pavo cristatus (Indian peafowl). Its description in RNAcentral is "lncRNA (ENSPSTG00000007456.1)". The record is from RNAcentral. Lineage: Eukaryota; Metazoa; Chordata; Aves; Galliformes; Phasianidae.
UGAAGCUCAAGAACGUGCUUGUAAAACAGCUGCUGCUUAGCAAUGUUUUUUCUUGGGUGAAUAUGCCAGAAUGUGGAUACAUACAUAGAACAGGCAGGGAGAAGAGUAAGAAAAUGAAUCUGGAAGAAAAUUGGUGAAUCCAACCCAGUGGACCUGGAAGCACUCUGACAGGCUCAGAGAGCAGAGUCUGGACCAAAGAGCAAUUACCCCACCAAACGAUUUCAGCUUCCACAAUUCCCAGUGUCACACCAACACUGCUUCCAAGAAGGCUGGCAGGCCCUAGGGCUUCGAUGAACUCUUUAUUGGGGGUGACAAAGAGUGC